RNAcentral lists this ribosomal RNA (851 nucleotides) under Aspergillus niger. Its description in RNAcentral is "eukaryotic LSU rRNA". It matches the Rfam family "Eukaryotic large subunit ribosomal RNA", at positions 67 to 930 of the family's 3401-position model. Lineage: Eukaryota; Fungi; Ascomycota; Eurotiomycetes; Eurotiales; Aspergillaceae. The record is from RNAcentral.
AACCGGGAUUGCCUCAGUAACGGCGAGUGAAGCGGCAAGAGCUCAAAUUUGAAAGCUGGCUCCUUCGGAGUGCCGCAUUGUAAUUUGCAGAGGAUGCUUUGGGUGCGGCCCCCGUCUAAGUGCCCUGGAACGGGCCGUCAGAGAGGGUGAGAAUCCCGUCUUGGGCGGGGUGUCCGUGCCCGUGUAAAGCUCCUUCGACGAGUCGAGUUGUUUGGGAAUGCAGCUCUAAAUGGGUUGGUAAAUUUCAUCUAAAGCUAAAUACUGGCCGGAGACGGAUAGCGCACAAGUAGAGUGAUCGAAAGAUGAAAAGCACUUUGAAAAGAGAGUUAAACAGCACGUGAAAUUGUUGAAAGGGAAGCGCUUGCGACCAGACUCGCCCGCGGGGUUCAGCCGGCAUUCGUGCCGGUGUACUUCCCCGUGGGCGGGCCAGCGUCGGUUUGGGCGGCCGGUCAAAGGCCCCUGGAAUGUAGUGCCCUCCGGGGCACCUUAUAGCCAGGGGCUGCAAUGCGGCCAGCCUGGGACCGAGGAACGCGCUUCGGCACGGACGCUGGCAUAAUGGUCGUAAACGACCCGUCUUGAAACACGGACCAAGGAGUCUAACAUCUACGCGAGUGUUCGGGUGUCAAACCCGUGCGCGCAGUGAAAGCGAACGGAGGUGGGAGCCCCCUUGCGGGGCGCACCAUCGACCGAUCCUGAUGUCUUCGGAUGGAUUUGAGUAAGAGCGUAGCUGUGGGGACCCGAAAGAUGGUGAACUAUGCCUGAAUAGGGCGAAGCCAGAGGAAACUCUGGUGGAGGCUCGCAGCGGUUCUGACGUGCAAAUCGAUCGUCAAAUUGGGUAUAGGGGCGAAAGA